GUGCGGAGCGCGCGCGCGCGCGGCUCGGAGGCGCACCUGUGAGGUGUCCCUGAGGAGAGGGAGGUGGGUGCGCGGCGCCCGCGGCCUGGGGCGCUGACUCCCCUCACUUGGAGGCGCCCUGCGUCCGGCAGAGGAGGCGAGCAUCCCGCUCAGGUGAUGAGGAACCCCUCGCGCACCCAGCGCAGAAGGCUGCUGCCGCCGGACGCCUCCAUUGUUUGACCACAACAAGGGCCGGAUUCUCACCCAGGCCGCACUUGGUGAGAGUCUUCACGGACCACAGUGUUGCACGAGGUGAUUGUGUUUGCAGAGGUUUUUUUGUCCUUGAAGAGCACUUAGGGCUGGAGAGCAAGACACAUGCUGACGAGCAGAAGCUGACAGGCUUGCUGCCAUGUGGGAAAGUCCUUGGACGAGUUGUCUGCUUGCGGAGAGGUGUCUGCGGCUCAGCCCCCCUCCCAACUCCCAAAUCCCCCGGCGUCGGAGAUGAGGCCCCGGAUGCUGCCAGUGUUCUUUGGGGAGAGCAUCAAGGUGAACCCGGAACCCACGCAUGAGAUCCGGUG
This 557-nucleotide long non-coding RNA is filed under the name Homo sapiens (human). Its description in RNAcentral is "HSALNT0196437". The record is from RNAcentral. Lineage: Eukaryota; Metazoa; Chordata; Mammalia; Primates; Hominidae.